Long non-coding RNA from Chelonia mydas (Green sea turtle), 325 nucleotides. RefSeq lists it as uncharacterized. The transcript is spliced from 2 exons. Lineage: Eukaryota; Metazoa; Chordata; Testudines; Cheloniidae. The record is from RefSeq and is a predicted model, not a curated record.
CAGAUCAAAAUGCAUGGAGAAUGCAGAAGUGUGACAACCUGCAAACUGAAAAUGACUGAUGAGCGAAUCUAGGAGCUGGAUCAGACCACAGACCAGUAUUACAAUAUUAAACCCCAAUCCUGCAACUGACUUUGUGUGGAUCGACUACUGCACCCUUCUGGAGCCUCACGACUUCAGUGGGGCUCUGUGCCUGCUCAGCUGCCGACCUGUGUGCUCUCAGAGCUUUGAAUUUGACUUUUUCAUUAAUUUAUUAUCAGUCAUGUUUCAGGAAUAUAUUCUCUGCAUGUAAUCUAGGAUUUCAAUCUCCAAUGAAAAUGUGACCAAG